GCCUCAGUCUCCCGAGAGCUGGGAUUACAGACAGCAGGACAGAGCUGCUCCUUGUACCGGGACGGACACAGCCCCGAAGGAUGGCCAGGGAGGAAGGCCGGGACUGGGCAGUUCUCAGUGGAGCCAGGGCACGUGGGAGCAGGCUUUUCCACCGCGGCUUCCUCUUGUCCCUGAGCCGUGGAGAAGUUCAAGGCAGCUCUCUCGGGCACCUUCCACUGCGCCCCUCUGUCCCCACCUCUCUGGGGCUGUGGCUGGUUCCUCGGUUCCAGACACGCUUGUGCUUUCCAGACACUUGCUGAGCGUCUUCUGUCUGCUGGGCUGGACCCUGACGUGCUGCAUCGGGGGGAUCCCGUGAAGGCCGGGCUUCCCCCGUCUGCCAGCCGGGCGCACCUACUCUCACGCCCCCGAGCACGGGGACGGUACCAUGGCACCCGGGUAGUCGUGGCGAGGAGGGGAGAGAGCUCAAAUCUGCCUCCGAAGCCAGUAGGUCCUGGGGAGUGGACAGGAAGGGAGAGGCUUCCCAGACAGAAGCUCCUUGUGGACCGGAGGUGGAAAGGGGCUGCUUAAGCUCUUUGGUGCAGGUGUAGACAGUCAUGGUGCGCCUUCUCUGACCUCUUUUGGUGGUGGUGAUCAGGGUCAGAGCAGAGGGCGCGUACUGAGGAGGGGGCACUGAAGGGAGCUGGGCGGGCUUCCCUGAGGCACGUGAACCGGGUCCUGAAGGGAAGGUAGGAGUUUUCCAGGUGCGGGAUAUGUUUCAAAGAGUUGGUCUAGCACGUGUCCUGGGUCCAGGGUCCUGCUCACUUAGCCACUGGGGGUUGGAGAGAGGCCACGGGGGAUACCUGGGAGGCCCCGGCCUUGAGGUUGCACAAGUCCUCCCGGGAGGGCACAGACAGUUCCUAGCAUCCUCUGGAACGAGAGAGGCACUGAGGGAGGAGGGGAAGGAGAGCUGGCCGGGGAAGCCUCACCACAGGGAAUGCAUUGUUUAAUUUUAACACACAUUGCAAUGAUUGUUACAAGAUAAUAUAUGUUCCUUGUGGGAAAAAAAUCCAACAGUAAAGAAUUGUGUAAAAUUAAAGAGUGGAAGCUCAACGUUUGCCCUUCUGCCCAAACUUUCUCCCACUUUCAGGCAUUUGACAGCCCUAAUACGUGCGGCGUCGGAUGCCUGGAUUUUCCUCCCCCGGCAAAGUGGGACCGUAGUAAUACUAUCAUCUUAUUUUACAGCUUGCUUUUCUUUCCUCUCAUUGCUGAUUCAUUCCGUAAAUAUUCCCGAGUACCUACUCUAUGCCAGGCACCGUGUUAGGCUCUGGGAAGAAGUAAAGAUGAAAUCGGGCCAGGAAACGGCUCACGCCCAGACGACCUUAGGGACGGACACCCGGAUAUGUAAACAAACUACAAAUCACAGGUUAUGGCGAGGGCUGCGGAGGAAAGCAGCACAGUCAGAGGAGAAAAGGGGCCUACUCUACGCAGGGCGGCCGGUGACGGCUCUUUGGAAGAGGUGACACUGGAAGUGACGUGGCCAGGGAGGGCAGAGAGCAGCUCGAGAAGCCGUAGGCGGAGGGGAGAGAGAUGACAGUGGGUCCCAAACUCCAGGUUGGUGCGGCUCUGUGAAAACUGCUUGGGUCACACAGUACGAGCCGCAGGAGUCGUUCCAGAUUGCAGGAAACUAAAGCCAAGCCUCGAUAACCACACAGCGUCUGGGGUUCUGCUUUUGCUAGAACGGAUGCUAUGUUGGCAGUCGGUAGAAUCCCCCAAAAGUAUGUGGGUCAGACGAUAGUAUUGUGUUGUGGUUCGUGUUGAUAUUUGCACUGCGGCCGUGCCAGAGACUCCCAUGAAUUUCCGGAUAUGCACACUCCGUACUCACAGUAGGUGAUGCCCUGACUGCAACCGACUAGGCAGCGGUCUGGAUGUACGAAAAUGUAUUCCAUGUAUGCAGAAAAUGCAGACUGUAAGUACAUAAAAUAGAGAGGGAGGAAGAGGAGAAGCGGGGGGUACGCAGAGGGAGAAGGAGGGAAAGCAGGAAGGAGAGAGGAGAAAAGGAAAAAAAAGGGGGGGAGGGAAGAGGAGGGUGCGGCAAGGUGUCCCUCUGUGGGGGAUCGGGGUGAGAUGCAUGAAGGUGACUGGAAAUCCUUGCACUGUUCCUGCGAUUCUUCUGUACAUCUGAAGCUACGUGGACAGAAAGCAUCUGGCAGAAGGAUCGCUGGCAGUCGGGAGCGAGUGAGAAGCUGCCUUCGGAGAAUUCACCCGACUCACCCUCCCGCCAGGUGACAGGACAGCCUGGUCCCCCGUUUGCACGGACACAGAGCAGUGUGAGGCUGCCUCUGAGGCAGAUUAAAAAUCGGCUCUCACUUCACCAGGCAGCCCUUUUACUACUGCCAAGGCCCCGCAUCUCCUCCGAUCCUCCCAGUGUUGCCAUCUGGACCUUUGCUUUGGUAUGGACGGGAAAGUGCAGGGCGCAGACGGGGGCUGCUGGUGUCAAGGACAGGAAGGCGCCUAAGGGGCAGAGGGGCCGCCAAACUGCUGAGCAGGCCUGGGAUGAGGACAGAGCAGGAACUGCUGGGUUUGGGGGCACGGAGGUCACAGCCUCAGUGUGGUGCUGGGAUGGAAGCCUAAUCCAGCAGGUGGAAGGGACGACGGGAGGUGACAUUUUGAGGACAGAGAUCAUACUAACCCCUCCGGGGAGUCUGCCGUGAAGACAGCAGAGAAACGGGCGGUGCUCCUGGUGUUUGCUUAUGGGGAGGAGUCAGAAGAGGGCCAGAGAGCCCGUCAGCAGGAGGGACGCGUCCUCCGAAGGGCGCGGCCUCAGCAUGGGUGCAGACUACUGGCGUCUGCUAAAUCAAGGCUGACCGUGUUGCCGUGCCCAGGACGGCCUCACACGAGGAGCCAGCUGACCACGGCCUGCCCCUUGCUGGCAUUCAGGCACGUGCACCUCCCCGAGAGACCUGUCCUGGUCGCUGUGCCACCUCCAUCAGCUCCGAUUUUACUCUGCUCAAACACCCGCCAUCUGGUUGUUGGUCUCUGCCUGUCCCCUCAGCAGGUCACCCCACAAUGGUGGGGCCCCUGCCCGCUCACCAGGUCCCUCCAGUGCCUGCUUGUUGGGUCGGUUGAUCUUCAACUAUGGAGUUUGUCUUAUUUCUCUC
Molecule: long non-coding RNA, 3137 nt
Organism: Fukomys damarensis (Damara mole-rat)
Lineage: Eukaryota; Metazoa; Chordata; Mammalia; Rodentia; Bathyergidae
Exons: 2
Source: RefSeq, a predicted model, not a curated record